This 673-nucleotide ribosomal RNA is filed under the name Aeromonas sp. RNAcentral describes it as "bacterial SSU rRNA". It matches the Rfam family "Bacterial small subunit ribosomal RNA", at positions 55 to 711 of the family's 1533-position model. The record is from RNAcentral. Lineage: Bacteria; Pseudomonadati; Pseudomonadota; Gammaproteobacteria; Aeromonadales; Aeromonadaceae.
AUGCAAGUCGAGCGGCAGCAGGCAAACUAGCUCGCUACUUUUGCCGGCGACCGGCGGAUGGGUCAAUAAUGCCUGGGAAAUUGCCCAGUCUAGGGGGAUAACAGUUGCAAACGACUGCUAAUACCGCUAACGCCCUACGGGGGAAAGCAUGGGACCUUCCGGCCUUGCACGAUUGGAUAUGCCCAUGUGGGAUUAGCUAGUUGGUGAGGUAAUGGCUCACCGAGGCGACGAUCCCUAGCUGGUCUGAUAGGAUGAUCAGCCACACUGGAACUGAGACACGGUCCACACUCCUACGGGAGGCAGCAUUGGGGAAUAUUGCACAAUGGGGGAAACCCUGAUGCAGCCAUGCCGCGUGUGUCAAGAAGGCCUUCGGGUUGUAAAGCACUUUCGGCGAGGAGGAAAGGUCAUUAGCUAAUACCUGCUGGCUGUGACGUUACUCGCAGAAGAAGCACCGGCUAACUCCGUGCCAGCAGCCGCGGUAGUACGGAGGGUGCAAGCGUUAUUCGGAAUUACUGGGCGUAAAGCGCACGCAGGCGGUUGGAUAAGUUAGAUGUGAAAUCCCCCGGCUCAACCUGGGAAUUGCAUUUAAAACUGUCCAUCUAGAGUCUUGUAGAGGUCCGUCUAAUUCCAUGUAUAGCGAUGAAAAUCUGGUAGAAAUACUGGAGGAAUACCG